UGCUAUGUAAUUUAGGCUGUACUUGAACUCACUGUGUAACCUAGGUUGGCCUGGAACUCAUGGCAAUACUCCUGCCUCAGCUUCCUCAGUGCUGGGAUUACAUAUGCACUGCCACACCCAGCCUUCGUUGUUUCAGUAUGUCUUCCUUUGAAACUGUUUAGACUAAAAGCUUCCAGACGAUGCACAUCACCAACUCUGUGACAGUGGCCUUAAAUAAGUGUUCAUGCAUAAACGAACUGAACUGUCAAGACUGAAGUGUGGAUAUGAUCCCGUUGCUGUGGCCACUCAGUGCCAGCCUGCCAUUCUGGAAACUCAGAAAGCUUGUUAUCUGGGGUACCCUUGUACAUCCUGCUUUUUUGGUUAGACAUUCACAGCUCUGAGGUUUUGGAGGGAGGUAGUCGGGAUGUUACUACCCUAGCUGGCUGCCACCUGCCGGCCUGUCUUCACUAUCCCCCUAGUAGCCUUCAGGAUUCAUCAAGUGCAGGUGGUCCGCAGUCCCCAUCUGAGAGAGGCUUAUUUUUCUCUUCUGUUUCAUAUCUUGAAAGUUUCCACAUUAUAAUAGUAGCAAGCAUUUAGGGAGAGCUUUCUGUGUGGUAGGCAGUGCUCCUAGAUUUUCCAUUGUAUGUUUUGACUCAUUUAAUUCUCACAGCAGUCCUAUGAGGCAGGCAUCUCCAUUUUCAGAUGAGGAGACUGAGGUCUGGGUGGAAAUGAAGCAGUCACCCUUAGACACUGAGUAGAUGAUGGGAAGCCCGGAUCUGGUGGCUGCAGAGCGUGUUCCUUCACUGAGAUUCCAUUGAAAACCUUCCUGCUUCCACAAAAGGAAAUGAAAAUUCGGGAACUGAAGUACCUCUUCCCAGGAAUAUGUAUUUCCACAGUCUGUGUCUGGUGUCCUUUCUUGAAGACAGCUGUUCCAGAGCUUCUGAGGCUAGUUUUGUUUGCCAGUGGACACUUCAUGAGCUACUUAAAGAACGAGCAUUACAGAUUUUUUACUAGAUCUAGGAAGGGAAAUGUAGG
This 1014-nucleotide long non-coding RNA is filed under the name Heterocephalus glaber (naked mole-rat). Its description in RNAcentral is "lncRNA (ENSHGLG00000042641.1)". Lineage: Eukaryota; Metazoa; Chordata; Mammalia; Rodentia; Bathyergidae. The record is from RNAcentral.